Molecule: ribosomal RNA, 497 nt
Filed under: uncultured bacterium
Lineage: Bacteria
Description: partial 16S ribosomal RNA
Rfam family: Bacterial small subunit ribosomal RNA
Source: RNAcentral
GAUGAACGCUGGCGGCGUGCCUAAUACAUGCAAGUCGAGCGAACAGACGAGGAGCUUGCUCCUCUGACGUUAGCGGCGGACGGGUGAGUAACACGUGGAUAACCUACUUAUAAGACUGGGAUAACUUCGGGAAACCGGAGCUAAUACCGGAUAAUAUAUUGAACCGCAUGGUUCAAUAGUGAAAGACGGUUUUGCUGUCACUUAUAGCUGGAUCCGCGCCGCAUUAGCUAGUUGGUAAGGUAACGGCUUACCAAGGCGACGAUGCGUAGCCGACCUGAGAGGGUGAUCAGCCACACUGGAACUGAGACACGGUCCAGACUCCUACGGGAGGCAGCAGUAGGGAAUCUUCCGCAAUGGGCGAAAGCCUGACGGAGCAACGCCGCGUGAGUGAUGAAGGUCUUCGGAUCGUAAAGCUCUGUUAUUAGGGAAGAACAAAUGUGUAAGUAACUAUGCACGUCUUGACGGUACCUAAUCAGAAAGCCACGGCUAACUACGUG